GACGAACGCUGGCGGCGUGCUUAACACAUGCAAGUCGAACGGAAAGGCCCUGCUUUUGUGGGUUGCUCGAGUGGCGAACGGGUGAGUAACACGUGAGUAACCUGCCCUUGACUUUGGGAUAACUUCAGGAAACUGGGGCUAAUACCGGAUAGGAUCUCCUGCUGCAUGGUGUGGGUUGGAAAGUUUCGGCGGUUGGGGAUGGACUCGCGGCUUAUCAGCUUGUUGGUGGGGUAGUGGCUUACCAAGGCUUUGACGGGUAGCCGGCCUGAGAGGGUGACCGGCGACAUUGGGACUGAGAUACGGCCCAGAAUCCUACGGGAGGCAGCAGUGGGGAAUAUUGCACAAUGGGCGGAAGCCUGAUGCAGCAACGCCGCGUGCGGGAUGACGGCCUUCGGGUUGUAAACAGAUUUCGCCUGUGACGAAGAGUGAGUGACGGUAAUGGGUAAAGAAGCACCGGCUAACUACGUG
RNAcentral lists this ribosomal RNA (468 nucleotides) under uncultured bacterium. Its description in RNAcentral is "partial 16S ribosomal RNA". It matches the Rfam family "Bacterial small subunit ribosomal RNA", at positions 28 to 507 of the family's 1533-position model. The record is from RNAcentral.